Molecule: ribosomal RNA, 503 nt
Filed under: uncultured bacterium
Lineage: Bacteria
Description: partial 16S ribosomal RNA
Source: RNAcentral
GGAGUUAGCCGGUGCUUCUUCUGUGAGUGAUGUCCUUCCUGCCGGCUAUUAACCCGCAGGCCUUCUUCCUCACUGAAAGUGCUUUACAACCCGAAGGCCUUCUUCACACACGCGGCAUGGCUGGAUCAGGGUUGCCCCCAUUGUCCAAUAUUCCCCACUGCUGCCUCCCGUAGGAGUCUGGGCCGUGUCUCAGUCCCAGUGUGGCUGAUCAUCCUCUCAGACCAGCUACGGAUCGUCGCCUUGGUGAGCCGUUACCUCACCAACCAGCUAAUCCGACAUAGGCUCAUCCGAUAGCGCGAGGCCCGAAGGUCCCCCGCUUUCCCCCGUAGGGCGUAUGCGGUAUUAGCCUGGGUUUCCCCAGGUUAUCCCCCACUACCGGGCAGAUUCCUAUGCAUUACUCACCCGUCCGCCGCUCGCCACCAGGGAGCAAGCUCCCCGUGCUGCCGCUCGACUUGCAUGUGUAGCNCGCGCCAGCGUCAUCUGAGCGAGAUACAACUACUCGA